This is a long non-coding RNA of Numida meleagris (helmeted guineafowl), 1256 nucleotides long. RefSeq lists it as uncharacterized. The record is from RefSeq and is a predicted model, not a curated record. Lineage: Eukaryota; Metazoa; Chordata; Aves; Galliformes; Numididae. The transcript has 4 exons.
CAGCUAUGACAUGCACAGAGUAGCACUGGCCAGGUGCAGUGGUACACUGUGAGCAGGUGUCAGGAACCUAUGCACUUUCUGCCCUUCUUUCCUGUACCCCUCCCUGGCCCAGGAGGAGUUCACAGCAACAUAUCUGCUGUUGCCCCAAGCAAAUGUACUCUGGCUGCUAAUUUGCAGCUGUGCCUACGUGCCGGAGGCUGUCGAUCCCAGUUUAAUAACCACCUUAGAUAAGACCUUGGAGAAACAGUAUCUGUAACAAGAGAGGGAAGUAGCUGAGAAGAGGCUUCUGGCUUGCUGGCAUUGCAGAUGGAGGAGCUUGAGAACUGCCACGCUGGUGCGAUUGUUCUGGUGUCUGUGCUGCUGACCAUAGUCAGUAACAAACAUCUUAAAGGAAAGUAUGCUAAUGCUCCCCAUUUCUGGGAUGCAUUUUCUGCCCCCUAGACAAGCUGUUUAAUCUCCCUGCUCCUCAGAUAAAGCUUGGCUGGAAGCCUGAAGCAUGAAGUUUUAUAGCUUUUCCAAAACUAUUUCUUUUCUUACAAUGUAAAUUAUCUCUGGUGGUGGUUAUCCUUUUUUUAUGCGACUAUCCAAUAUUCUCUUUAACUCUUCUUGCUCUUUGCCUCCAAGCAUUGUGAUAAUGAGUUAAACAGACUAAAUAGUGAGAAGAAGUGCAGCUUGUAACUUGAACUGGUAUGAAGUAUGUCCCUUUUUCAUAUUUUCUGAGCCAGCCUGGGGGAAGCUUGCCCAACCACUGGCUCAGGUGCAGUUGUUCUGAGGCACUUGAAACAUCUGGUCCCAUGGUACCGUGUGGCUGCAACCUACUGUCCACAUAGAAGUAAUCAAGCACACUUCGUGUUGUAAAACCCCACAACAACAAAACAAUGCCUCAUAAUCCACGGGAAUGUUCCAUACCACCUCAGGGCAAGUGCCUUUUAAUGGCUUUUUUACUCCGAGUUUGAUCAGAUUCCAGACUCUUUUAAGAUGAGAGCACCAUAAAUGUUGGAAAUGAGGUACUCUAUUUCAGGGAAAAUACAAAAGCCAGACUGCGUAGUUCUGUGAAGUAGAAACAGAGUUGUUACACUGUGAGAGAUAGCAGGGCUGCCUUAAUAGAUGGCAUUCAAGUGCAGCUGUUUAUGGGUCUUAACUGGUGUUGGCCCACAAAACACAUACUUAGAAAGGAAAUCAGGGAAAGCUAACACAUGCCUGGGGGCUUUGAAGUUGUUAUUAUCAGCCACAUACAAAAGAACGGGAGAUCCUCU